Cygnus olor (mute swan) is the source of this 2662-nucleotide long non-coding RNA. RefSeq lists it as uncharacterized. The transcript has 3 exons. The record is from RefSeq and is a predicted model, not a curated record. NCBI's taxonomy places the organism in Eukaryota, Metazoa, Chordata, Aves, Anseriformes, Anatidae.
UGGAUGAGCAGGAACCCAUGGGACUGUGGCAGUCUGCAGACCAGAUGGAAAUGCAUUGCCUGUAAAUGGGAGAGGCAGAGGUCUGCAGAGCCAGGAGCCUCACCCUGCGAGGAGCCUGUCUGGGUGUGAAAAAGGGGUCUCAGUGCAAGCUGAGCAGAGGAAGAGGGAAGAUGUGUGGCGGAGGGAGGCUGUUUCUAAACACAGUUGUUCAGGCACCUCCAGGAGGCAAUAGCAGCCCUUUUAAUCCGGAAGAAACCAGCAGAGCCUCCCCUCCUGCCUGCGAGGCUGACGAAGGGAGCUCCCGGAGGCAAAGUCCUCUCUCUUCUGAAAAGCUCGUGGAAGUUCCCUGCCAGUCAAUGGAGACAGUCGGAGUUUCCAUCGUCUUUAUCUUCAGUGUGCUGUUGUCUGGGUCUGCGCAGCUCUCCUUCCUCUGUACUUAUCCCCCCAGUGGCAAAUAGCUCUGACUCCCUGGUUUUAUGAACAGUGAUGGAGGUUUAACACCCACAAAGGCUUUCAAGACCUGUGAUUAAAUGCCAGUAGUGGAGAGGUUCAAUGGCCUGCUUAGGAUAAAGAAGGGAAAACAGCAGGAAAAUGCAUCUCCCAAGCAAAGUGGCUGCUGUUGUGCCAGGGAUGCUUGGGUCAGCGCGCUUGCAGCUGUGCUCGGGGCAGGGUUAUGGUGCCCGGCUGGGUCCUGCCACCAAGGCAGGAGGGGGAUGCACAGGAACGAACUGCAGCAUGUUUUACAGCAGUGAGGGACUCAAAUAGGUUCGGUGUUAGUUAAAAUAAUGCUCGGUAAAACCCUCCUACCUGGCAAUGCAAGCAAACUCCAUCUGGUGAGAAAGCAUUUAAGACUUGUACUUAAAAUGCACGUCGCUACCAAAGUCCUGAAAUAGAAUUGUCUUUACCUAAUCGUAGCACGGUACGACUUUAAGGCUUCAGAAACAGUUAAAUGUGUGUCCAGAGGAAAGGUAUUACCAGGGUAAUUGGGCUAUAAACCAGAACAUAUACACGGAGGGAUUCUGUCUGGCAAUACUACGGUAAUCUGGAGAGCAAAAUUUGAUUCUCUGUAAUCCUGGACUGCGUGUGUUGCUGCAUUAAAAAAAAUUUCUCAGUGGCAUUGUACAUGCCUGAAAAGCAAUGUAAUAUUUUAACAAGAAAUUUCUCUUAUUACAACCCUGCGUUUAGCAUAGCUCUUUCCUGAGUCCUCUGGAUGAUUGUUUGCAAGUAUCUGAUUGUCACGAAGAAAAGGUAAUUGUGGAAAGAAAAUGAGAGGCUCGAGAAAACUAUUUUGGAAGUUGAAGAAAAUUGUGGCACGAGCGGCAGCACGGCCGAUUGCCUGUAGUUGAUGAAAAUUAUUUGCAUAUUGCAAUUUUUAUCGCUGCAUUUGGCAUUCGCCUGCCUCUCACCAGUGUGUGAAAGGCCUGGGAGCUCUCUGCCUGUCUCCACGUGCAGACCAGGGUUUUUGCAAAUCCAAGGUGUUUUUUUCAAAAGCAUAGAGCCGUGGGGAUUGCUGCCCCAUGUCAGAGCAGUGGCUGAUGUCUUGGACCCUCUCCAUCAGUGGCCAGAGCUGGGGACAGGACCCGGCCCUUCCCCUGUGCGCUGGAACACACCUGACACCAGCACAGUUGGGCAGGGAGAUAUUAAUUCCCAUUCCAGAUAGGCUUUUGUGGCCUGCAACAUGAAAAUCAAUACCCUAGUGAUUUUUAAUCCACUGUGUUUUGUGUCUGUGUAUGUAUAACUGACGUGCUUGAGCUGGGUGCUCCGUGUAAAACAGCGCUGUGCCAUUAAAAUAGAUCCCUGUUUCCAACAGCUGACAAAGUCUCCCUUAACGUAAUCCAUAGCUCCGGUGCAUCUGCCAUGGCCGUUCCCUUCCUGUGACCUCCAAAAAGUGCCCGCACCAGCGAGGGGACGACCACCCUCCGCUUGCACGCUGCCGUGUGUUCACACACUGCUGCGGAGCCUUGCACCGUUUGGAGGUCUCCUUCACAAUAACCCACCAGGGCAAGGCUGCACGUAAACACAAGGCAGUUCUUGAUCUCAAGAGCUUAGGAUCAGCUCUUGAAGGUAUUUAAGCAUGACAAUUCUUGAUCUCGAGCUCAGGAUCAGCUUUAAUUAAGCUAUUUAAGCAUCCUGCCCCUCCUGGAAGCAAUGGGGGAAGGCUCCUCCCUUUGCACAGUCUGGUCCCUGCAGAUGGGCCAGGCGAGGACUUUCUUAAUGUGCAGUUGGGGAGCAGAUAAAUGAGAAAAAAACGCACGACGCUUCUUGACAGCAGCCACGUAGGUGGCUGUUGCAGCCCCCUGCUCGAGCCUCUCUUUCCCUGCUGUAAAACUGAGCUGUAGCCGUGUGGUGGGGGGAGCGCGGAGGAGCUGGAUGCAGCGGUGUGCUCUGGGAAGCUCUUCUUGCUAACCCUGCAUCAGGUUUUUCUCUUUUGGGGCUUGGCAAACUGCUUAAAUGCUUCUGGGACUCGCGCUCCCUUUCUGCAGGAGGAAGAUAAUAUUUACUGAUCUCUCCUAUCGUUCAUCUUAUUGUGGCUGCUAUGAUAGGGCUGUCAUACACAUAAGUGAUAUUAACUGAGCUAAGAUGGCAUGUUUCUCACCUGCUAUCACAUAUAUUACUGUUUUUUUCCGUUUUUCAUCAUCAUAGAGCUUAUUAUACCGUGGGG